This 85-nucleotide transfer RNA is filed under the name Planctomycetaceae bacterium. Its description in RNAcentral is "tRNA-Leu". It matches the Rfam family "tRNA". Rfam says of the family: Transfer RNA (tRNA) molecules are approximately 80 nucleotides in length. Their secondary structure includes four short double-helical elements and three loops (D, anti-codon, and T loops). Further hydrogen bonds mediate the characteristic L-shaped molecular structure. tRNAs have two regions of fundamental functional importance: the anti-codon, which is responsible for specific mRNA codon recognition, and the 3' end, to which the tRNAs corresponding amino acid is attached (by aminoacyl-tRNA synthetases). tRNAs cope with the degeneracy of the genetic code in two manners: having more than one tRNA (with a specific anti-codon) for a particular amino acid; and 'wobble' base-pairing, i.e. permitting non-standard base-pairing at the 3rd anti-codon position. Lineage: Bacteria; Pseudomonadati; Planctomycetota; Planctomycetia; Planctomycetales; Planctomycetaceae. The record is from RNAcentral.
GCCAGAGUGGCGGAAUUGGCAGACGCGCUGGAUUCAAAAUCCAGUGUCCGUUAAGGACGUGUCGGUUCGAGUCCGACCUCUGGUA